RNAcentral lists this long non-coding RNA (294 nucleotides) under Olea europaea (common olive). RNAcentral describes it as "long non-coding RNA (OEUR_LNC012685)". Lineage: Eukaryota; Viridiplantae; Streptophyta; Magnoliopsida; Lamiales; Oleaceae. The record is from RNAcentral.
CUUCUUAAUAUCACAUUUUAUUAUUAGAACCAUCACCAUAGAAAUGAGUACAAAUAAAAUAGUGCUAUACAAAUCACGCAGUACGGGUUAUUUCUACUACAUUGAACCUUCUUCAUGGGAUCUCCAAUCACAAAGGUUGGGUUACUCUCGAAGGAUAAUCUCUUAUGGGUUUAAGCACACCCCUUUCAAUGAUUUAUGUAUGCUCGGACUACAAUUUAUUUAUGCCCCUCUUGGAUAAUAAUAUGGUACCAUCAAUUUGUGAAUCUUAUCUUCUCCUGCAUAUCUGCAUAUCUG